This 292-nucleotide ribosomal RNA is filed under the name uncultured bacterium. RNAcentral describes it as "partial 16S ribosomal RNA". It matches the Rfam family "Bacterial small subunit ribosomal RNA", at positions 775 to 1067 of the family's 1533-position model. The record is from RNAcentral.
GGAUUAGAUACCCUGGUAGUCCACGCCGUAAACGAUGGAUACUAGCUGUAUGUCUACUUCAGGUAGAUGUGUGGCUAAGCGAAAGUGAUAAGUAUCCCACCUGGGGAGUACGAUCGCAAGAUUGAAACUCAAAGGAAUUGACGGGGGCCCGCACAAGCGGUGGAGCAUGUGGUUUAAUUCGAUGAUACGCGAGGAACCUUACCAGGGUUUAAAUGCAGAACGACAGGGGUGGAAACACCCCCUUCUUCGGACGGACUGCAAGGUGCUGCAUGGUUGUCGUCAGCUCGUGCCG